UGCAGUCGUACGCACUGGCCCAACUGAUUGAUGGUGCUUGCACCUGAUUGACGAUGGAUCACCAGUGAGUGGCGGACGGGUGAGUAACACGUAGGUAACCUGCCCCGGAGCGGGGGAUAACAUUUGGAAACAGAUGCUAAUACCGCAUAACAACAAAAGCCGCAUGGCUUUUGUUUGAAAGAUGGCUUUGGCUAUCACUCUGGGAUGGACCUGCGGUGCAUUAGCUAGUUGGUAAGGUAACGGCUUACCAAGGCGAUGAUGCAUAGCCGAGUUGAGAGACUGAUCGGCCACAAUGGAACUGAGACACGGUCCAUACUCCUACGGGAGGCAGCAGUAGGGAAUCUUCCACAAUGGGCGCAAGCCUGAUGGAGCAACACCGCGUGAGUGAAGAAGGGUUUCGGCUCGUAAAGCUCUGUUGUUGGAGAAGAACGUGCGUGAGAGUAACUGUUCACGCAGUGACGGUAUCCAACCAGAAAGUCACGGCUAACUACGUGCCAGCAGCCGCGGUAAUACGUAGGUGGCAAGCGUUAUCCGGAUUUAUUGGGCGUAAAGCGAGCGCAGGCGGUUGCUUAGGUCUGAUGUGAAAGCCUUCGGCUUAACCGAAGAAGUGCAUCGGAAACCGGGCGACUUGAGUGCAGAAGAGGACAGUGGAACUCCAUGUGUAGCGGUGGAAUGCGUAA
This 680-nucleotide ribosomal RNA is filed under the name Lactobacillus sp. JCM 5868. Its description in RNAcentral is "bacterial SSU rRNA". It matches the Rfam family "Bacterial small subunit ribosomal RNA", at positions 56 to 693 of the family's 1533-position model. Lineage: Bacteria; Bacillati; Bacillota; Bacilli; Lactobacillales; Lactobacillaceae. The record is from RNAcentral.